Molecule: long non-coding RNA, 1000 nt
Filed under: Equus caballus (horse)
Lineage: Eukaryota; Metazoa; Chordata; Mammalia; Perissodactyla; Equidae
Description: lncRNA (ENSECAG00000057639.1)
Source: RNAcentral
GGGGACUCUCUUCCUCCCGAAGAGUGUCCACGGACGCUCAGUGCGUCCUCACGCACUUUCCUGCUCCAAAAAUUUGGCUAAAGUUUUGUUGGAAAGUAGCAUCCAGAUGUGGAAGAUUUUCAAAAGUCGUGCGUAAAUUUAGGAACUAGAUCCAGAAAAAACGAUUACUCAGGGUGGUCAAAUGAAGGUGAAGUGCUGUAGAUAUGGUGUCGGUGAAUUUGCCGUCAAAAUGAAGAGUCAGCCAGUCCCCUCGUCUGUGUGAUGUACGUACGGCCAGCUUAUUUACUCGGGAGGACAGAGGGAAAAAAAUAACAGGAAACCAACCCACAUCAAACAAUGAAGAUGAAUAUCAAUAUUUGUUCCUUUCCGGAUAAGAGGAGUUAUGCACAGUAUUACGUCAUCAUAGCAGCACUUGAAAGAAUCGAAGUUGCUUUGAGCUUGAAGAAUUUCCAGUACAGCAAUUUGGCUGUUGUCAUCUAAAUGAAGUAAAGUUAAAAUAUAGCCUUUUAACAGAAGUAAGUAGAUAUUAUUCGAAGUAUCCAUGGUCGCCAUCUGGAAGCUGUGCUUGUUAUCAAACUUGAGAUCCAGGAACCUGGUCCGAUGCUGCCAGCAGACCCUUUGGUUGUUUUCAGUUGUGAAAAUAAAUGAAGACCACCCAGACGAGGACACACAAAGGCUCUUUAUUCAAAGCUGGCUACAGCGAGGGUGUCAGUGCCGUCACAGGCUGCGCAGAGACUCGAAGGCGGCAGAGAUGGGACAGGCGUCAGGCACCGCCUGCUAGGAGGGCGCUGGCUGGGAAGCUGGAGGUGGCAGUGGUUCAUGCUUUCUGAUUGCUCUGUAGCAUCCUGUUGAAUGACUAUGCCACAAAACAGGGAAGGGCUGGAGUCUGCCCCACAUUGCUAACGCCAUUUCCUCACCUGUUGUGCAUCCUUCAGCCUCCUCCCCUAUCACAAGCAAAGAGAAUUCGCUGGCAUCAAUGCAACCAUGUUAGAAUAAAAGC